GUGUGAACAUAUGUCAGAUGACUCUUAAGUAGCAUGCAAAGUUUCAUGGGGAUCGGACUAUAUGUGGCGCUAUAACUGUCCAUAAGGCUUCAAAAACACAUUAUAUCUGUUCUAAAUGGCUUCAGACUGCUAAAAAAACCCCUCAUAUUUUCACACAUACAUUAGAUUUGCAUUCAUUCUAAACAAGCAUGCACAUUUUUAGAGAGACUGGGCAAAAAAAUUACACUAAAAUAGUGAUAAAGCUUAAAACACAGUGUUGUAUGAGAAAUUGCAUUCAUAACCACUAGAUGGCAGCGGAAGACCACUAAUGGGCUGAUUAAAUGAACAAAAACAGUAUUUUUCAUUUGUUUGCUUGUACACAUUUUAAAAUCACUGCAAUAACAUUUAAAAUCGCAUUGAAUCAAAGUUUAGCAUUUUGUUCAAAUAUAAGUUUUUACAAUUAUGCCAGAUUAUGAUUACAAUGAAACCUGCCAAUGACAUACAAACUUGAAAAGAGAAGACUGUCUCUGUAUGUGUGUGUGUGUGUGUGUGUAGAAAUGCUCAAUGAUUAUUAAUAUAAUAGUUUAACCAUUUCAUUUCUGUGUGUGUGUGUAUGUGUGAGCCUAUUCUCCAGUUUAGAUGUGUUCUACUGUCAGACAUACAUCCAGGUUGGCCGAGACCUUAAAACCAUAACACCUUUUAAGCCCUGGUAAAAGCUCGAACCCCGGUAAUCGCUGCUUGCAGCUUUAAUUAUUAUUAGGGGUUCGAGCACGAAGUGCUGAAACCCUAUUGUAAUUGUUAGGAUUUUUUUAUUAUUAUUAUUAUUAUUAUUAUUAUUAUUAUUAUUAUUAUUAUUAUUCUUCCGCCCUAAAACUGAACGGGCAGACCAAACCGUAAGGCCUAGAGAGCUGAAACUUGGUCAAAAGGUAGUAGUCUUGCUCGCUACUCAGGCGCAAAGAACUGGCCCAAUCGGCCUAAUGGGGGCGCUACAGCGCAAAAAACUAAAUUUUCAGACAUUUUUGGCCGUAGCUCGUAAACCGUUUGUCGUAGACUCAAAAACAUGGCAUCGUUGCAAUCCUUGGGUUAGCCCGAACAAAAUUGCUCUGCUGAUUUUUUCGCUCUACGGCGCAUCGUUUUCUCGCAAAAUUGAGUUAUAUCUGAAACCUACUUUUGCGAACUAGUCCUAGGUUUUUCACCUGAUCAGAACCAAACCACUGCAGAAAUAUUCUCUGGACACUCAAUAUCAAUAAUUAUCGAAAAAAAGUUGAAAUUUCGAUUCUUACGCGAAACAGUACACCAAAAAGCGUCUAUGCUAACGUUAGCCAAAUGUUAUUUUAGCUAUAACUCUUGAACGGAAUGACAUAUCUUCAUCAAACUCGGGACAAAUGUGUAUAAUCUCAAUCUUUGGUCAAAUUAAAAAAAAUGCGCACCUCUACCACUUGGGGGCGCUAUAAGACAGAAAAAACACAUAAAUGGCUAUAACUAUUCAACCAUUAGUCCGAUCGACUUGAAAAUUGGAAUGCAGUUUCUUUGUCUGAAGGGGCACAAUCGUCUAUGAG
Molecule: long non-coding RNA, 1538 nt
Organism: Cyprinus carpio carpio
Lineage: Eukaryota; Metazoa; Chordata; Actinopteri; Cypriniformes; Cyprinidae
Source: Ensembl